CAACCCACACAUCCUUGUGAUGCUUGUGAGGCUUGGACUUGGAGGCUUGCUGGCCCAUCGCGGUCGGCUCCUCUUGAAUGCAUUAGCUUGGUUCCUUGCGGAUCGGCUCUCAGUGUGAUAAUUGUCUACGCUGUGACCGUGAAGCGUUUGGCGAGCUUCUAA
Molecule: unclassified non-coding RNA, 162 nt
Filed under: Trametes orientalis
Lineage: Eukaryota; Fungi; Basidiomycota; Agaricomycetes; Polyporales; Polyporaceae
Description: partial ITS2
Source: RNAcentral